Molecule: ribosomal RNA, 461 nt
Filed under: uncultured bacterium
Lineage: Bacteria
Description: bacterial SSU rRNA
Rfam family: Bacterial small subunit ribosomal RNA
Source: RNAcentral
CGCUGGCGGCGUGCCUAAUACAUGCAAGUCGAGCGAACCACUUCGGUGGUGAGCGGCGAACGGGUGAGUAACACGUAGGUGAUCUGCCCAUCAGACGGGGACAACGAUUGGAAACGAUCGCUAAUACCGGAUAGGACGAAAGUUUAAAGGUGCUUCUGGCACCGCUGAUGGAUGAGCCUGCGGCGCAUUAGCUAGUUGGUAGGGUAAAGGCCUACCAAGGCGACGAUGCGUAGCCGACCUGAGAGGGUGAACGGCCACACUGGGACUGAGACACGGCCCAGACUCCUACGGGAGGCAGCAGUAGGGAAUCUUCGGCAAUGGGCGAAAGCCUGACCGAGCAACGCCGCGUGAAUGAUGAAGGCCUUCGGGUUGUAAAAUUCUGUUAUAAGGGAAGAACGACUUUAGUAGGAAAUGGCUAGAGUGUGACGGUACCUUAUGAGAAAGCCACGGCUAACUACGUG